Ricinus communis (castor bean) is the source of this 160-nucleotide non-coding RNA. NCBI's taxonomy places the organism in Eukaryota, Viridiplantae, Streptophyta, Magnoliopsida, Malpighiales, Euphorbiaceae. The record is from Rfam.
GAUAACAGGUUGAUCAUCCCCAAGAGCUCACAUUGACGGGAAGGUUUGGCACCUCAAUGUCGGCUCUUUGCCACAUGUGGCUGUAGUAUGUUCUAAGGGUUAGGCUGUUUGCCCAUUAAAGCGGUACGUGAGCUGGGUUCAGAAUGUCGUAAGACAAUUU